RNAcentral lists this ribosomal RNA (253 nucleotides) under uncultured bacterium. RNAcentral describes it as "partial 16S ribosomal RNA". It matches the Rfam family "Bacterial small subunit ribosomal RNA", at positions 524 to 776 of the family's 1533-position model. The record is from RNAcentral.
UACGUAGGGUGCAAGCGUUAAUCGGAAUUACUGGGCGUAAAGCGUGCGCAGGCGGCUUUGCAAGACAGAUGUGAAAUCCCCGGGCUUAACCUGGGAACUGCAUUUGUGACUGCAUGGCUAGAGUGCGGCAGAGGGGGAUGGAAUUCCGCGUGUAGCAGUGAAAUGCGUAGAUAUGCGGAGGAACACCGAUGGCGAAGGCAAUCCCCUGGGCCUGCACUGACGCUCAUGCACGAUAGCGUGGGGAGCAAACAGG